RNAcentral lists this ribosomal RNA (894 nucleotides) under Rhizopus arrhizus. RNAcentral describes it as "eukaryotic LSU rRNA". It matches the Rfam family "Eukaryotic large subunit ribosomal RNA", at positions 85 to 912 of the family's 3401-position model. Lineage: Eukaryota; Fungi; Mucoromycota; Mucoromycetes; Mucorales; Rhizopodaceae. The record is from RNAcentral. RNAcentral also lists the same sequence under 1 other name.
AACGGCGAGUGAAGAGGAAGAGCUCAAAGUUGGAACCUGUUUGGCCUAGCUAAACCGGAUUGUAGACUGUAGAAGUGUUUUCCAGGCAAGCCGAGUAAAUAAGUCCUUUGGAACAGGGCAUCAUAGAGGGUGAGAAUCCCGUCUUUGGCUUGAGCAUUUGCCUUUUGUGAUACGCUUUCAAAGAGUCAGGUUGUUUGGGAAUGCAGCCUAAAUUGGGUGGUAAAUCUCACCUAAAGCUAAAUAUUGGCGAGAAACCGAUAGCGAACAAGUACCGUGAGGGAAAGAUGAAAAGAACUUUGAAAAGAGAGUUAAACAGUAUGUGAAAUUGUUAAAAGGGAACCGUUUGGAGCCAGACUGGCUUGUCUGUAAUCAAUCUAGGCUUCGGCCUGGAUGCACUUGCAGGCUAUGCCUGCCAACGACAAUUUGACUUGAGGGAAAAAACUAGGGGAAAUGUGGCCCACUUGUGGGUGUUAUAGUCCCUUAGAAAAUACCUUGGGUUGGAUUGAGGAACGCAGCGAAUGCUUAUUGGCGAGUUUUCCAGGAAGGUUUUCUGAGGUACUACGGUAUCAAGGUUGAUCUUUUUGGUUAUACUUCUAUUCGCUUAGGUUGUUGGCUUAAUGACUCUAAAUGACCCGUCUUGAAACACGGACCAAGGAGUCCACCAUUAGUGCGAGUAUUUGGGUGCCAAACCCAUAUGCGUAAGGAAACUGAUUGAUACGAAUCCAUUAAGGAGGCAGUAUCGUCCGGCGCUGACGUUUUAUACUGAAUUGACCGAGACAAAGCACUAAUGAUGGGACCCGAAAGAUGGUGAACUAUGCCUGAAUAGGGUGAAGCCAGAGGAAACUCUGGUGGAGGCUCGUAGCGAUUCUGACGUGCAAAUCGAUCGUCAAAUUU